CACGUAGGGGGCCAGCGUUGUCCGGAAUUACUGGGCGUAAAGCGCGCGCAGGCGGUCUAGUAAGCAGCGGGUGAAAUUCCGGGGCUCAACCCCGGCGCUGCUCGCUGAACUGCUAGACUAGAGUACGGGAGAGGGCAGUGGAAUUGCCGGUGUAGCGGUGGAAUGCGUAAAUAUCGGCAAGAACACCAGUGGCGAAGGCUGCUGCCUGGAACGUUACUGACGCUGAGGCGCGAAAGCUAGGGGAGCAAACGGG
This 253-nucleotide ribosomal RNA is filed under the name uncultured bacterium. RNAcentral describes it as "partial 16S ribosomal RNA". It matches the Rfam family "Bacterial small subunit ribosomal RNA", at positions 524 to 776 of the family's 1533-position model. RNAcentral also lists the same sequence under 2 other names. The record is from RNAcentral.